CCUACGGGAGGCUGCAGUGAGGACUAUUGGUCAAUGGGAGAGAUCCUGAACCAGCCAAGCCGCGUGAGGGAAGACGGCCCUAUGGGUUGUAAACCUCUUUUGUCGGAGAACAAAACCCGCCACGCGUCCCGCACUGCGUGUAUCCGAAGAAAAAGCAUCGGCUAACUCCGUGCCAGCCGCCGCGGUAAUACGGAGGAUGCGAGCGUUAUCCGGAUUUAUUGGGUUUAAAGGGUGCGUAGGCGGUCCGUUAAGUCAGCGGUAAAAUUGCGGGGCUCAACCCCGUCGAGCCGUUGAACCUGGCAGACUUGAGUGGGCGAGAAGUACGCGGAAUGCGCGGUGUAGCGGUGAAAUGCAUAGAUAUCGCGCAGAACUCCGAUUGCGAAGGCAGCGUACCGGCGCCAAACUGACGCUGAGGCACGAAAGCGUGGGGAUCGAACAGGAUUAGAUACCCGGGUAGUC
Molecule: ribosomal RNA, 459 nt
Filed under: uncultured bacterium
Lineage: Bacteria
Description: partial 16S ribosomal RNA
Rfam family: Bacterial small subunit ribosomal RNA
Source: RNAcentral